AGAAGGGGACCAGGCAACAUCCAGCCAGACACCUGUGCCAGAAACAACAAAAUGACAAUGUUAUACUGAUAUACCAGUAGGUACCAGUAGAGAGAAUCAUUGAAUCAUUCAUCGAAUCCCACUGAUUCAUUCAGCAGCAAAUUAAAGGAAUGAUAGGAGGAAUUUCUGUAGAAGACACAGGAAGAAUGUAGAGUCCUUGGAAUGGAGCUUGUAUUGGAUCUGUCACAAAGAGUAUAUCGUGCAAGAUAUUACGUUUGCAUACUUAUUAAGGAAAAGCUUUCAUAAAAGCCACAGUAUCAGUUGCUUUUUGUAUACUUCAUCAACUGAAGAGAUAAUUGAGUUAAACUUCUUAUAUUUUGAUUGUGAAACAUUUUUUAUUUUAAUUAAAAUAAAUGACCUUUUAAUUGAUUAAAAACUUGUAUUUUAAUUAUAAUAAAAUGUUUUCUUUUUUUAAUUAAAGCAUAUCGUGGAUUUUUUUAUAUGUUUUGUUUAUAUGAUAUGUAAAAAUGCAUCUGUUGUCAGGACAGAUUUACAUCAUAACGACCACUAAAAUGAUUUUGUACUUUCUGCUUUGGUGGUCUAAAUGAAAAAUAAAUGUACUUAUUUACAUAAAUGUGUAUUUCACUGAAGUACAGUCAUGUGAAAAAGUUAGGACACCCUAUUGAAUUCCAUGGUUUUCCGUAUCAGGACAUCAUUUAAAAAAAUGGUCCUUGGCUGGUCUUCAAAUUUCGAAAAUAAAACCUCAA
Molecule: long non-coding RNA, 746 nt
Organism: Labeo rohita (rohu)
Lineage: Eukaryota; Metazoa; Chordata; Actinopteri; Cypriniformes; Cyprinidae
Exons: 3
Source: RefSeq, a predicted model, not a curated record